GCGUGGGUAUAUAGCCGCCAGUGAAUGGGUUAGUUGCUGAACACUAGCAUGAAACUAGGGGUAAGGAUAAAGUAAUGCCAGUUACCAAAACUAAGUGAAAACCAUCCAAUGCAAAUAACCAUAAAUAUAUAUAAGUGUUGGGAAAAGGACUGGGUUUACAUGCCUUUUAAAACGUUAACCUGGGUUGUGUAGCUUAGCCG
This 200-nucleotide long non-coding RNA is filed under the name Capsicum annuum. RNAcentral describes it as "long non-coding RNA (CANN_LNC019727)". Lineage: Eukaryota; Viridiplantae; Streptophyta; Magnoliopsida; Solanales; Solanaceae. The record is from RNAcentral.